UAAAACCAGCACCUCAAGUGGUCAGGAUGAUUAUUGGGCCUAAAGCAUCCGUAGCCGGCUCUGUAAGUUUUCGGUUAAAUCUGUACGCUCAACGUACAGGCUGCCGGGAAUACUGCAGAGCUAGGGAGUGGGAGAGGUAGACGGUACUCGGUAGGAAGGGGUAAAAUCCUUUGAUCUAUUGAUGACCACCUGUGGCGAAGGCGG
RNAcentral lists this ribosomal RNA (204 nucleotides) under uncultured ammonia-oxidizing archaeon. RNAcentral's name for it is "partial 16S ribosomal RNA". It matches the Rfam family "Archaeal small subunit ribosomal RNA", at positions 471 to 675 of the family's 1478-position model. The record is from RNAcentral.